ACUGUCAACGGCCAACGGAUCUAACCAGGCAGCUUCCGCACGUGCGUUGCCUACGGGCAGUCAGGGAGGCAACCACGAAACCGUUCCAGACCUCCACGUGUUUCAUGAACCGCAGACUGCCUCGUUCUGACGCCCAUUUUUAUCGUGCGGGGAAGUGUUGGUCUGGCGGGUCUUCACCAGGCAACUUUUGUGUCUGUGCCUCGUUUUGAUGUUUGUUGAGCACAGCGCAGUCGCGGGAUCGUGCGUCGAUGCUGCUGCGUAGCUGCUGCCCAGGUACUCGCCGGUGUUCAGACGACUUUCGGAGCGGGAAGCAGGCCCCAGUUUACCCGUCACGCCUCGAGCCUGCAAACCAGCGGGCACGCGUGAACGAGUCCACGAGCUGGCGCCAUGAAGCGGGGUACCAGGAGUUUUUGGCCCCCUUCCCCGCCGCCCUCCGCAGAGGUUAUGCACGGCACGCGAGAAGCAGUACUUGCGCCAGAUGAAACGGGUACUCCACAAGGUGCGUUUGCGGGCGAAAGCGUUGAUAGCGCUGCUCUGGUACCGUCGUACCGCUGCUGCUUGAUGCAUGGCAGAAGAAUGGAUCGAAGGGUGGCGACGCGUUCAAGUCGAGGCCGGUACAACAAACGACCCGAAGCGUCCCAAUACAGCAGGUCUGUCUGAACGACACUCAGGCAUUCGGUUGGUAUGGGAGUACAUUCAACUCUUGGCGCCCCGGAGCACACCAGAGCAGGCACGCCAGGCAACGCCCCGUGGUACGCUGUCACUCGACAACAUGAGAGGCAUCGUCGGCAUCGUCGCGCUGACCUGCAUCGCUGGUGCGUCCGAGGCCUUUCGACGCGUCCUCUGUCGGAGGAAUCCCAGAUCAGUGGCGGAUGCGGGAUACGGUUGACAGACGAACGCUACCGAUGCAUCGCUCGCACCAAAGAACGGGCGUGCGUUGCCCGCAACACACCUACUUGGCGAGAGGUUGCGCUUCAUGCGGCCCUGCCUCGGAUGCUUGCUUUCGAGUUCCCGAACGGUUACGAUACCUGCUCCAGAACGGGUAUCAUCGUGUGCGUCGAUCACGUAGCGGCACGUAUGCAUAGAGAUGGAUGAAGAGCAUCGUGAGGUUUUGUGCGGAUAUCGAGCACAACGUUCUCGUGCAUAUGGAUCCCAUCGGGUUGGCGUGAUCCGCUGCGACGCGGAGGCAAUGCUCACGGCGCCCAAAAGGACUGGAUUUCAUCUGACAUCCGCGUAUGUAUGCAUUUGUUGCCAUUUCCAGGCGAUAGGAUAGACGGGUGCAUUGCGUUUCGUUCCCUGCUGAUGCGCCAAUGACGCUGGUCACCCAGGCAUGCGCUUCGGAGACGGCGAGGCGUGCCUGGGGCAUCUGUGGUGCAAGUUGGCUGCUGGACAGCUGAGGGCGUGUGGUGUAUUUCCAGCGCGACCCUGGUGGCAUGCAAAACUAGUUAUUUCGUUCAUUCGGCAGUCGGGAUGACUGGCCGAGUACGCUCAUGGGUUACAGUGCCCAGCAAGCGCGCCUAGCGUGGCAGGAUAAUCCCAUCCACGCGAUUGCAUCGCAGGCGUACUCGGGUAGAGUCGACUCAGAUCUGGGUGAAGCGCCUCGCCGGCGAACAUACACUCUAGUCGUCCGCUGUUAUUUUAUAACGAGGCUCCGAAUGCCUACAACCUGCGGUCUACGAAUCAUUUUGGCAACAGUCUUGUCGUAAACGG
Molecule: unclassified non-coding RNA, 1710 nt
Filed under: Cyanidioschyzon merolae strain 10D
Lineage: Eukaryota; Rhodophyta; Bangiophyceae; Cyanidiales; Cyanidiaceae
Description: hypothetical transcript
Source: RNAcentral